GACGAACGCUGGCGGCGUGCUUAAAACAUGCAAGUCGAACGGGGUCCAACCUUCGGGUGAAGACCUAGUGGCGAACGGGUGAGUAACACGUGAGCAACCUACCCCAGAGACCGGGAUAAGCCAGGGAAACUUGGUCUAAUACCGGAUACUCUCAUCGGUUCUAUGGACUGAUGAGCAAAUUGGUUUUUCGCUUUGGGAUGGGCUCGCGGACUAUCAGCUUGUUGGUGGGGUAAUGGCCUACCAAGGCUUCGACGGUUAGCUGGUCUGAGAGGAUGGUCAGCCACACUGGGACUGAGACACGGCCCAGACUCCUACGGGAGGCAGCAGUUAGGAAUAUUGGACAAUGGGCGCAAGCCUGAUCCAGCCAUGCCGCGUGCAGGAUGAAAGUGCUAUGCACUGUAAACUGUC
RNAcentral lists this ribosomal RNA (408 nucleotides) under uncultured bacterium. Its description in RNAcentral is "bacterial SSU rRNA". It matches the Rfam family "Bacterial small subunit ribosomal RNA", at positions 28 to 434 of the family's 1533-position model. The record is from RNAcentral.